UACAGAGGUCCCAAGCGUUGUUCGGAUUCACUGGGCGUAAAGGGUGCGUAGGUGGCCGGUUAAGUCUGACGUGAAAUCUCCGAGCCUAACUCGGAAACUGCAUCGGAAACUAUCCGGCUCGAGGGUUGGAGGGGGGACUGGAAUUCCCGGUGUAGCAGUGAAAUGCGUAGAUAUCGGGAGGAACACCAGUGGCGAAGGCGACACGCUGGGCCGUACCUGACACUGAUGCGCGACAGCAUGGGGAGCAAACAGG
This 253-nucleotide ribosomal RNA is filed under the name uncultured bacterium. RNAcentral describes it as "partial 16S ribosomal RNA". It matches the Rfam family "Bacterial small subunit ribosomal RNA", at positions 524 to 776 of the family's 1533-position model. The record is from RNAcentral.